UACGUAGGUGGCAAGCGUUGUCCGGAUUUACUGGGCGUAAAGAGCGCGCAGGCGGUCGUUCAAGUCGCGUGUGAAAGCCCCCGGCUCAACUGGGGAGGGUCACGCGAUACUGAUCGACUGGAAGGCAGGAGAGGGUAGUGGAAUUCCCGGUGUAGUGGUGAAAUGCGUAGAUAUCGGGAGGAACACCAGUGGCGAAGGCGGUUGCCUGGAGCUUUGCUGACGCUGAGGCGCGAAAGCGUGGGGAGCAAACAGG
This 253-nucleotide ribosomal RNA is filed under the name uncultured bacterium. RNAcentral's name for it is "partial 16S ribosomal RNA". It matches the Rfam family "Bacterial small subunit ribosomal RNA", at positions 524 to 776 of the family's 1533-position model. The record is from RNAcentral.